Molecule: long non-coding RNA, 297 nt
Organism: Sarcophilus harrisii (Tasmanian devil)
Lineage: Eukaryota; Metazoa; Chordata; Mammalia; Dasyuromorphia; Dasyuridae
Exons: 3
Source: RefSeq, a predicted model, not a curated record
UGUUUUACAGAUGAAGAAACUGGGGCCUUGAGAAGCUAAGAGACUUUCAUGAAUCUUACAUCAUAAAUUGAGGAACAUGGCAGAUUCAUUUCACAAAGCUACUGCAAGGGCAGAUGCCACACUGAUUGCCAAAUGUUUAGUAGAUACAUGGAACUAUGGAUGAAUACACUGAAAAUGAAACUGUAGGUAAUGGAGACCCAGAGAAGUAAAGAAAAUACUUUGAUAUCACAUCAUGGACAGAUGGAAGAACUUAAACUAGAACACAAAUCACUUGACUCAUGUACAAGUCUCUUUCCA